This 68-nucleotide transfer RNA is filed under the name Parvimolge townsendi (Townsend's dwarf salamander). RNAcentral's name for it is "tRNA-Asp". It matches the Rfam family "tRNA". Rfam says of the family: Transfer RNA (tRNA) molecules are approximately 80 nucleotides in length. Their secondary structure includes four short double-helical elements and three loops (D, anti-codon, and T loops). Lineage: Eukaryota; Metazoa; Chordata; Amphibia; Caudata; Plethodontidae. The record is from RNAcentral.
AGAUGUUAGUAAAGUAUUACAAAACCUUGUCAUGGCUUAAUCGCCGGUUUAAACCCGGCACAUCUUGU